UGCAAGUCGAACGAUGAAGCCUAGCUUGCUAGGUGGAUUAGUGGCGAACGGGUGAGUAACACGUGAGCAACCUGCCCCGAACUUUGGGAUAAGCGCUGGAAACGGCGUCUAAUACCGAAUACGCACCAUGGCGGCAUCGUCAAUGGUGGGAAAGAUUUUUCGGUUCGGGAGGGGCUCGCGGCCUAUCAGCUUGUUGGUGAGGUAAUGGCUCACCAAGGCGUCGACGGGUAGCCGGCCUGAGAGGGUGACCGGCCACACUGGGACUGAGACACGGCCCAGACUCCUACGGGAGGCAGCAGUGGGGAAUAUUGCACAAUGGGCGCAAGCCUGAUGCAGCAACGCCGCGUGAGGGAUGACGGCCUUCGGGUUGUAAACCUCUUUUAGUAGGGAAGAAGCGAAAGUGACGGUACCUGCAGAAAAAGCACCGGCUAACUACGUGCCAGCAGCCGCGGUAAUACGUAGGGUGCAAGCGUUAUCCGGAAUUAUUGGGCGUAAAGAGCUCGUAGGCGGUUUGUCGCGUCUGCUGUGAAAACUAGAGGCUCAACUUCUAGCUUGCAGUGGGUACGGGCAGACUAGAGUGCGGUAGGGGAGAUUGGAAUUCCUGGUGUAGCGGUGGAAUGCGCAGAUAUCAGGAGGAACACCGAUGGCGAAGGCAGAUCUCUGGGCCGUAACUGACGCUGAGGAGCGAAAGAGUGGGGAGCAAACAGGCUUAGAUACCCUGGUAGUCCACUCCGUAAACGUUGGGAACUAGUUGUGGGGGCCUUUCUACGGUCUCCGUGACGCAGCUAACGCAUUAAGUUCCCCGCCUGGGGAGUACGGCCGCAAGGCUAAAACUCAAAGGAAUUGACGGGGACCCGCACAAGCGGCGGAGCAUGCGGAUUAAUUCGAUGCAACGCGAAGAACCUUACCAAGGCUUGACAUAUACCGGAAACGGCUGGAAACAGUC
This 946-nucleotide ribosomal RNA is filed under the name Microbacterium sorbitolivorans. RNAcentral's name for it is "bacterial SSU rRNA". It matches the Rfam family "Bacterial small subunit ribosomal RNA", at positions 56 to 1011 of the family's 1533-position model. Lineage: Bacteria; Bacillati; Actinomycetota; Actinomycetes; Micrococcales; Microbacteriaceae. The record is from RNAcentral.